RNAcentral lists this ribosomal RNA (301 nucleotides) under uncultured bacterium. RNAcentral describes it as "partial 16S ribosomal RNA". It matches the Rfam family "Bacterial small subunit ribosomal RNA", at positions 509 to 807 of the family's 1533-position model. The record is from RNAcentral.
CAGUCGCCGCGGGAAUACGAAGGGUGCAAGCGUUACUCGGAAUUACUGGGCGUAAAGCGUGCGUAGGUGGUCUGUCAAGUCAGAUGUGAAAUCCCCGGGCUUAACCUGGGAACUGCAUUUGAAACUGGCAGGCUAGAGUCUUGUAGAGGGGGGUAGAAUUCCAGGUGUAGCGGUGAAAUGCGUAGAGAUCUGGAGGAAUACCGGUGGCGAAGGCGGCCCCCUGGACAAAGACUGACGCUCAGGUGCGAAAGCGUGGGGAGCAAACAGGAUUAGAUACCCCGGUAGUCCCUGUCUCUUAUAC